Molecule: ribosomal RNA, 541 nt
Filed under: uncultured bacterium
Lineage: Bacteria
Description: bacterial SSU rRNA
Rfam family: Bacterial small subunit ribosomal RNA
Source: RNAcentral
AAUAGAUACCCGGGUAGUCCAUGCCGUAAACGAUGUCUACUAGCCGUUGGGGCCUUUGAGGCUUUAGUGGCGCAGCUAACGCGAUAAGUAGACCGCCUGGGGAGUACGGUCGCAAGACUAAAACUCAAAUGAAUUGACGGGGGCCCGCACAAGCGGUGGAGCAUGUGGUUUAAUUCGAUGCAACGCGAAGAACCUUACCUGGUCUUGACAUAGUAAGAACUUUCCAGAGAUGGAUUGGUGCCUUCGGGAACUUACAUACAGGUGCUGCAUGGCUGUCGUCAGCUCGUGUCGUGAGAUGUUGGGUUAAGUCCCGCAACGAGCGCAACCCUUUUCCUUAUUUGCCAUCGGGUUAAGCUGGGAACUUUAAGGAUACUGCCAGUGACAAACUGGAGGAAGGCGGGGACGACGUCAAGUCAUCAUGGCCCUUACGACCAGGGCUACACACGUGCUACAAUGGUCGGUACAAAGGGUUGCUACCUAGCGAUAGGAUGCUAAUCUCAAAAAGCCGAUCGUAGUCCGGAUUGGAGUCUGCAACUCGACU